UUCCCAUAGGAACUCCUUUUAAGGCUAAAACUGUACCACUUUUACUAUGAAGUUUUGAAAAAAAUCUUAUCCUAGAAUUGAAAGUUCAUAUGCAACACAAUUUUUUUUCAAAGGUCAAAAUAUAGGGCUGUGCGGCAUAUUUUCAACGUUUAUAUGCCCUGAACUUCUCAGAGUUUAAACUAACACUAAUUUUCUUUACUACCCC
Molecule: long non-coding RNA, 205 nt
Filed under: Mytilus galloprovincialis (Mediterranean mussel)
Lineage: Eukaryota; Metazoa; Mollusca; Bivalvia; Mytilida; Mytilidae
Source: RNAcentral